This is a long non-coding RNA of Zea mays, 1682 nucleotides long. RefSeq lists it as uncharacterized. NCBI's taxonomy places the organism in Eukaryota, Viridiplantae, Streptophyta, Magnoliopsida, Poales, Poaceae. The record is from RefSeq and is a predicted model, not a curated record. The transcript is spliced from 2 exons.
AAUUGGUUCAACAAUUAAAAGGAAAAAUAGUGAACAUGACGAUCUUGAGAAUAUAUCUUUAUAAAUACAAGAACUAGUAUGGCUUUUGUUACAAAUUUUCUGUACAUUACAGCUGCAGUGGAUCUUGAGUACAUGUCAUCUUUACAAAAUGUUGUAGUCCACUCAAUAACAUUUUGAAAAUAAACAUUAAAUAAAACGUUGUUUAACAGUCUUGCUGAGUACUUUCCUUUGCUCUGUAUUGUAGAUGUGAUAAAGUUUUAUUUUCAUAUCUGUCUUUUCACUUUCUGUCAAAAUUUAUAAGUUUUAUUGUCAUGACAGUUCUAGGUGCCACUAUAAAACAACAAAGCAAAAAGAUAGUGCACCAACUAUAAUAAAAUCUUGUUUCUGAUAGUAGGCCAUGCAUGUCUAUUCACCGACUACUACUGUUUUAUCUCCCAAUACAUGUAAGGUAGCUACUGUUUUAUCUCCCAAUACAUGUAAGGUAGCUGACCGUGAACACAUGGUUAAUAUGUGUCUGUGGUUGUCAAGGGCGUCGGGCCCGAGGGUAGGAGGACCGCGGCUCCGAAGGUCGUAGCCGCCGUCCGUGUUGCCGACCGGGUUAUGCCCCCAGGAACGGCGGUCUUCGUCAACGGGUUAUGCCCCCUGUUGCCGAGUAGAGAGAGGUAGGAGACUGAGAUAAAACUUUCUUGUACUCAUCAUGGGUGCUUACAGGGGGUAUAUAAGGCCAUAGGCCAGGGCUACUAAAGGAAGCCACUAAUCACUCUUAUUCCCUUCUAAAUCUAUCCCAGAUUAUUAAAGGAAAGCCAUCAAUCACUAAUCACUCUUAUUCCCUUCUAAAUCUAGCCCGGACUAAUAAAGGAAAGCCAUCAAUCACAGAUCACUCCUAUUCCUUCUAAAUCUAGCCCGGACUAAUAGGAAGGCCAUCAAUCACUUUUAUUCUUUCCAGAUCUAGCCGCUAGGCCUGGCUGCCUGCUGGAUCAGGCGCUGCCUGCUGGAUCAGGCGUCCUGCGCGCUCAGCCGCGCGCCGCACGUCGCGUGCCCUGUGCCGACGUGUGUACGUAUUUCCGUACAUCACAGUGGUGUUCUAGUGUGAUGAGUAAUUGUCAAGGAGAUGGUUGGUAUUGGUUUCGAGAUGACUAACCUUAGUAUGGUGCAACAUGUCUUUUGGUUUGUGGCACGUAGCUACAGAGCACAUAGGUAGUGGUCGGCGUGAAGAUGAAGGUCAAGUGGAUUCGUGUCGAUGGCUUGGGAGCAGUGACGUUGAGGCUUGAACUGAGUGUUUAGAAAAACCGGAGGACUGGGCACUAGUGGCCAACACCUGGGGACAUCGACAAGUGCAAGUGUUGACCAAAUCAAGACAACGGUCGAUCAAGCAGGUGGAGGUGUUGUAGGACUUGGUGAUUGAACGGUCGAGGAUUGAGGUGACACAUGGCGAGAUCGCAGAGGGGGCAUAGAGGAUACACUACUCCGGAGUGAUUUAGUGGUUUGGGCCUCAAAACCAUCGACGAACGAUUUUUGGGUUUGGACCUCAAAACCAAGAUAGGAUUGCGGUGGGUAUUGAAGGCGGCACAUGGCGUUAUUGUAAAGCUUGCAUUGAUACAAGAAAAAUCAUGAAGAACCCAUGGCCAUCAGAUCUAUAAAUCUUGAGGGCAAUGUGUAAUAGCCCUAUAAUAAGGAGGAAG